UCAUCGGUAUUCCCGUUUUCCGGGAAUUGAAAAGGGAAGGCAGUGCGAAUCUGCCGCAGCCCGCUCUACUGUGAUGGGGAGCGCUUCGUUAAAAACCAUUGGCGUUUUGCUGAGAAGGGGACGAAGCGCGCGGAACCUAAGCCAGGAGACCUGCCGGUGAAAA
Molecule: non-coding RNA, 163 nt
Filed under: human gut metagenome
Source: RNAcentral